This 72-nucleotide transfer RNA is filed under the name Morus notabilis. It matches the Rfam family "tRNA". Rfam says of the family: Transfer RNA (tRNA) molecules are approximately 80 nucleotides in length. Lineage: Eukaryota; Viridiplantae; Streptophyta; Magnoliopsida; Rosales; Moraceae. The record is from Rfam by way of RNAcentral.
GCCGUCUUAGCUCAGCCGGAUGAGCGCAUGGCUUUUAACCAUGUGGUCGUGGUUCGAUUUCCACAGACGGCG